RNAcentral lists this unclassified non-coding RNA (268 nucleotides) under Hevea brasiliensis (rubber tree). Lineage: Eukaryota; Viridiplantae; Streptophyta; Magnoliopsida; Malpighiales; Euphorbiaceae. The record is from RNAcentral.
AGACAGUCACUUUUGGUCUUCUUGAGUAUGCAGACGUAGUGAUACAUGGGGAGAGACAGUUAUUGCCAUCUAACAUCAUCAGCUGCACUUGCUAGAAAGAUAAUUAGAAAGGGAUGUGAAGCUUAUCUAGCUCAUGUGAUAGACACCCAGGUGGGGAGUCCAGAUCUUAAGGAUAUUCCUACAGUAUGGGAUUUUUCGAAUGUCUUUCCGGAAGAGUUGCUGGGAUUACUUCUAGAAAGAGAGAUGCAGUUUGAAAUUGAGACUAUGC